AAAGAUCGAAUCGGGAGAUUCAACGAAAACGGGGCUGGCUUCCGUUUGAUGUGCGAUACCCUGAAUGGUUCCUUCGUGGUUCCAAUGAGAGGGCACACCGUCUUCGGCAAAUGUCCAGUCUCGUAGUUGUGCACUUCUCCCAUUGUAGAACGUCGCGACCCGUUGCGUGUCGGUCUACGGCACGAGUUGUUGCCUGUCGGCGUCGUCUUUGUGCGUACACGGCAGACGCUCGAUCGCCUGGCCGGCUGCGCGACGGUACUCUGACGGUAUCGGGCCGCAACCAAUCCAUUUUUUCGAAUGUGUGUGCGUCGGGCCCGCCGCAAGCUCGUCUAGGUACCCGGAUGGUACGGACCUGGUGCCGGCUCCGGGCCUAGUCAGCUGUUGGCAGGCGGUGUCCUCGGACUGGCCAAGCUUUGAAUUACCGGUCAGCGACGCUACUGCUUUGGGUACUUUCAGGACCCGUCUUGAAACACGGACCAAGGAGUCUAACRUGUGCGCGAGUCAUUGGGACUCGUUUAAACCUAAAGGCAUAAUGAAAGUAAAAGUCGAUCUUUUUUUUAAAAAGUCGACCGAGGGAGGAUGGGCCGCGUCACGAUGCGGCCUCGCACUCCCGGGGCGUCUCGUUCUCAUUGCGAGAAGAG
Molecule: ribosomal RNA, 641 nt
Filed under: Augochlorella urania
Lineage: Eukaryota; Metazoa; Arthropoda; Insecta; Hymenoptera; Halictidae
Description: eukaryotic LSU rRNA
Source: RNAcentral